CGCCAUGAGAGUGAGGGAUAUGUAAAUAACCGUUAUGCUGAACGGGGGAGAUGGUGUCAAUGUAGUGGGAGGAACCUGGUGCGGUAUUAACUUCAGCGCAAACUAAUUUACCAUUAUUUCAAAUGAAUUGUUUCUGUGCUAUAUAACACAUGUAAUUGGUUUAUAUGUAAUGAUUGUUAGGAUCAGGACACAAUUGGCAAGGGCAGCUGUUACUUCCCAUCCCUCAUUGAGAAUGUGGUGGUGAGCCAGUAGCAGUCCUCCCAGUGAAGGUUCAGCUACAGUCCUACGGAGGAGACCCAGCAACAAUGAAGGAUUGCAAUGUAAUUUACAAGUCAGAAUGAUGUGCGACUUUGAAGGGAUCCUGCAGGCAGUGGUGUUCCCAUGCUCCUGCUGCCCUUGUCUUUCCUGGUGGUAGUGGUCAUGGUCUUGGGAGGUACUGCCAGAGUACAAGUGGCCACAGUGCAAUCUUGUAGGUGGUGCAGAUAGCAGACUCAGUGUGCCUGUGGUGAAGUAAAUGAUAAAUGUGGUGCAUUGGUUGCCAUAUAAGGAAGCUGUAUUGUCCUAGAUGGAGUCGUGCUUCUAGAGAGUUUGUGCAGCACUCAUCAAGGAGACUGGAGAGUGUUCCAUCACACUCUUGACUUGUAUUUUGUAGAUGGUUGAAAAGGUGUGGGUUGACAGGAAGUAAGUGAUUUGCCCAGCAUACCCAGCUUCUGAGUUGCUCUGGUAUGAGGCUGGUGCAGGUGAGAUUCUGGUCACAGGUAACCCCCAGGAUAUUGAUGCCAGUGGCUCAGUGAAUAUAACAUCACUGAAUGUGAUAGCAGGUUGGAUCUCUUGUUGAAGAUAGUCAGUCAUUGGCUUGCACUUUUGUGGUAAGUACAUAACUUAUGCAAUAAUCAGAAAACAUGUUCCCCUGUCACCAUGUGAUCAAGGGAGGUCAUCGAUGAAGCAGUUGGUGAUGAUUUGACUUGGGACACCACACAGUCUGGAAUGAUUAUCCUCCAAUAAGCACCACCACAUUUCUUUGUGUGCAUUCUGGCUUCAACCAGUGGAGAGGUUUCUAUUUGAAGCCCAUUGGCUUUGAUUUUACCAGGGCUCCUUGAUGUCACAUUCAAUCAAAUGCUGGCUUGAUAUCAAGAGCUGUUACCCUCAUCUCACUUGGUUUGUUUAUCAACAUUACUCUUUCUUUGGAUAUGAUCGUUCAAUAAAGCUGAUGCUUACUGCCCAUUCUUAAUUGAUGGUAGAGCACCGCUGGAGUUCAUGUAGUAGGUGAUUGUGAAAGUUUGGACCUCCAGCAUUUUGACCUAGCAAUAACAAAAGAUCGGUAACAUAUUUCCAAGUCGGGGAGAAACACGGUGGGUGAGGCAGCAUCUAUGGAGCGAAGGAAAUAGGCAACGUUUCGGGUCGAGGCCCUUCUUCAGACUGUCGGGAUGAUGUGUUUUAGAAAGGAACAGGCAGCUGGUGGCAAGCUAAUGAGUCUGCUGCCUUUUUCUUUCUGGGCAAAAGGGUUUGAAAGUUUGGAUUAAAGGAAACAUUAAUAAGUUGCUAUGGAGGUAAACACUGGAGUCGAGUGUGAAUGGUGGAGCAGUGAACAAUUAAAACAGUGAAUGGGGAUACUAACUAAACACGCUUCUUCCUUCUGGAUGGUGUUAAUUUUCUUAAAUGUUUCAACUGCACUUAUCCAGCAAGUGGAGAUUGAGAGAAUAUGUGUGCAUACAUUAUGUUUACGGAAUGUUUCUAUGUGUCUAACUGGAACAAGUUUUAUCCAGGGUGAUAACUCCUGGAUUGGGUAGCAUAUUCAUGCCAUUGUCUGCGCCCUUGUAUGAGGACUGAUCUCUUGAGCACUGAAGCCAGUGAUUAUGGAAUCAAGCCCAAGAAAAUAGGUCAAAGUCUUCCGAUGGAAAAGGGUCGGAAUCUUCACUGGGAGAAGGAUGUGUGCUUUUUCUGAAGCUACUGGAAACAAAUGCCAGCCCACAGAAUGCACAUCAUGGGAUCAGCUGAAAGCAAAAUGUAACUUUCCUUUCCAACUGGAGCAUUUAGAAAUUCAAUGGCUGUGGUGUCUCAAUACACAUCUAACUCAAGUGAGACUGAUUCUGUGGUAUUUAAGAUGUUUACAGCUUUGGGAAUAAACUGCCAUUUUAUCUAUAACUGCAUUUGAAUGGUGUGACGGGAUUGAUGGACCUUUUGUCACACUUUGUCAUAUGGCAUUUCUGCUGUUCCACGGCAGGAACAGAUUUUGAUUUGUUUACUGUCAGGUCCAAAGAGUGGACUCAGUCCUCAGGUGUGAAAUUACAAGAUGUUUUCAAUUAAGGGAACUCUGAGAAGAAUGGGAAAUCUUAAAGAAGGUGCUUAUUUAACAAAGCAAUAAAGUUAAGCUUUCUAAUGUAUUUUUGCUGAUUCUCUCGUGGCCUUGCUUGCAGAAUAUGUUUGUUUUUGAUUCCAAGUAUGUGCUAAGAUAGUUGAUCUAUGCCGGAAAACUGUUGGUUUCAGUGACUUUAAAAAUGUAAGAGAAUACCAGAUUCCUGCUUCUAAUUGGCUUUAUAUUUUCACAGGAUGUGGACAUCACUGGCAAUGUCCACAUUUAUUGUCCAUCCAUAAAUGCCCGUGCACUGAGGAGGCCAUUAAAAGUCCAUCCCAUCGGUAGGUUCUGCAGUUACAUGUAGGCAGGACUGGGUAAGGAUGGCAGAUUUCCUCUCGUGAAGGAUAUGAGCGAACUGGGAUGUCCACUGCCAUUUAUCGUGCUAGUUGGCUAAAGGCUAACCACACAGAGGGUAGGACUGCUCAAGGAUCAAGCAGCAAAUGUGUGCUUGAAGUCUGGGGAUGCAGUUGGGGUUAUGGAAAGGAUCGAAUUCCUUAAAUCCUGAACAUUUCAAGCUAGCACCAGCGAGCAAAUCACCCAGCUUUGUGCCUGAGAGCUAUCUCUCAUUAAUGUCUGCUGUGCCUAAUCCUCGGCUUCAGUGAAUUAUUCUUCAUUCCGGGGCAACUUCAAACAACAUGAGAUUCAAAUGUUACACAUUCCUUUGGUUGCCGAUGUCUCUGGAAACUGGAUUCCUAAACCAUGGGCCACUGUGGAAAGUCAGCUGGCUCCUUGAAGGACUUCAACAUUCUUGAGCUCAAGACACAUUGUGCUGAAGAAUACGCCUCUGCGAUCUUCCCUCCCCCCAUUGCAGAGAAUAAGGGAAAGUGAGAUGGGGAAGAACCAUGCCAGAGAUGGGGUGGUUAAAUGUAUGGGAGUAACAUGCAUCAUGGACUGGGCAUGGGGAGGUUUAGACAGACGAUUAAUGACAUUCAGGCAAAUGCCAACUUGGAGGCGGAAUCUGACUGAUAAUUGGAUUUUUGAAAAGUGAUUGGUUGUUGAUCAGAUGACAGACAGUAGGGUCGAUUAUGAGAGGUUUGGGUUGGUGAUGGGGAGGUGGGUUAGGCCAAUUGAUGGCAAUGUUGUGUGGAUGAUGGGGAAGUGCUUCACCCAAAUGUCUGGGGCCAUUGAGGACAACGGUGAUACUUACAUGAAGGUAAAGGCUAUUGAAAGCUAGCAAAAGAUGUUUGAUUUUGAUAUUCCCCAUAGAUCAACAUGGUGCCUAAGAACUCAUUAUGUCAAUUACCAAGCAGUUUGCUUUCCUCAUCUUCAUCAAGUUGGGUGCCAGUGUUAAGUAUGUCGAUCUGUCAAUUCAGUGUAUAAAUCUUGAAUUAUC
This is a long non-coding RNA of Leucoraja erinaceus (little skate), 3689 nucleotides long. RefSeq lists it as uncharacterized. The record is from RefSeq and is a predicted model, not a curated record. The transcript is spliced from 4 exons. Lineage: Eukaryota; Metazoa; Chordata; Chondrichthyes; Rajiformes; Rajidae.